RNAcentral lists this ribosomal RNA (253 nucleotides) under uncultured bacterium. RNAcentral describes it as "partial 16S ribosomal RNA". It matches the Rfam family "Bacterial small subunit ribosomal RNA", at positions 524 to 776 of the family's 1533-position model. The record is from RNAcentral.
GACAGAGGGGGCGGGGGUUGUCCGGAGUCACUGGGCGUAAAGCGCGCGCAGGCGGCAACCUUAGUGUCGUGUGAAAGCCCCCGGCUCAACCGGGGGAGGCCAUGGCAAACUGGGUCGCUCGAGCUGCGGAGAGGCUCCUCGAAUUGCCGGUGUAGCGGUGAAAUGCGUAGAGAUCGGCAGGAAGACCAAGGGGGAAGCCAGGGGGCGGGCCGCCGGUUGACGCUGAGGUGCGACAGCGUGGGGAGCAAACCGG